Molecule: non-coding RNA, 460 nt
Organism: Sarcophilus harrisii (Tasmanian devil)
Lineage: Eukaryota; Metazoa; Chordata; Mammalia; Dasyuromorphia; Dasyuridae
Source: Rfam
AUCAUCUGCAAACAAAAAAUUAUGAGCCAGCACUUUCCACUUUGGUGUCAUUGUGAUAGCUGACUAAUUCCAUGUUUGUCCUCAUUGAAGGGGGUUUUAAGCAUGAGGAGUCAAAAAAGUUAGCACAGGGAUAAUUGGCUUGAAAUGGCUAAGUGUUCAUAGUGAUGUUUCUUUUUAAUCCUUCAAUAUCUGUUCUUACUAUCAUUGUGAAGCAGAAUUCACCAAUCACUGGAUUGUUCACCCACUAAUAGGAAACAUGAGCUGGGAUUACACAGUUGUGAGGCAGGUUAGUUUUACCCUACUGAGGAGAGAUUAUCACCAUAGUAAUCCUGCGCUCAACACAAGAGGAGCUACAGAUCUAUGUGCUUGGUUGAGGAGUCAGUAGAGUAAAGCUACCAUCUGUGGGAUUAUGACUGAACAUCUCUAAGUCAGAAGCCCUUCUAAGUGUGACAAUGCCUCA